Non-coding RNA from Triticum aestivum (bread wheat), 126 nucleotides. The record is from Rfam. Lineage: Eukaryota; Viridiplantae; Streptophyta; Magnoliopsida; Poales; Poaceae.
GAACUACUCCCUCCAUCGGGAAAUACUUGGUCGGAGAAAUGGAUGUAUUUAGAUGUAUUUUAAUUCUAGAUACAUCCAUUUUCAUUCAUUUAUGUGACAAGUAAUUCCAGACGGAGGGAGUACAAG